Molecule: long non-coding RNA, 298 nt
Organism: Lagenorhynchus albirostris (white-beaked dolphin)
Lineage: Eukaryota; Metazoa; Chordata; Mammalia; Artiodactyla; Delphinidae
Exons: 3
Source: RefSeq, a predicted model, not a curated record
CACUCUUUAAUUAUCAAUGGCCCCCAGAUGCCCAGAGUCUCUGCAACCAUCCAGCCCCUCCAGGACUGGGACAGAUGUUGGAAAGACACCAGAAAGGAUGCAGAUAAAAUAAAUUCAUACAAAAAGCCACAUGAGGGCCAGGCUGCAGGUACAGAUUCUCAGGGCUUUGUCUGCUGAGUGUGCUUUGGGGUAACUAAGUGCUGGGUGUGGCCCCAUGAGGCCCGAACAGAGGGACUUUGCUAACUGUGUGGAGGCAGCCUGCAUGCAUCACAGCAAGAACUGAGUCUAGACGUGCAGC